GAUGAACGCUGGCGGCGUGCCUAAUACAUGCAAGUCGAGCGAACAGACGAGGAGCUUGCUCCUCUGACGUUAGCGGCGGACGGGUGAGUAACACGUGGAUAACCUACCUAUAAGACUGGGAUAACUUCGGGAAACCGGAGCUAAUACCGGAUAAUAUAUUGAACCGCAUGGUUCAAUAGUGAAAGACGGUUUUGCUGUCACUUAUAGAUGGAUCCGCGCCGCAUUAGCUAGUUGGUAAGGUAACGGCUUAUCAAGGCAACGAUGCGUAGCCGACCUGAGAGGGUGAUCGGCCACACUGGAACUGAGACACGGUCCAGACUCCUACGGGAGGCAGCAGUAGGGAAUCUUCCGCAAUGGGCGAAAGCCUGACGGAGCAACGCCGCGUGAGUGAUGAAGGUCUUCGGAUCGUAAAACUCUGUUAUUAGGGAAGAACAAAUGUGUAAGUAACUAUGCACGUCUUGACGGUACCUAAGCAGAAAGCCACGGCUAACUACGU
Molecule: ribosomal RNA, 496 nt
Filed under: uncultured bacterium
Lineage: Bacteria
Description: partial 16S ribosomal RNA
Rfam family: Bacterial small subunit ribosomal RNA
Source: RNAcentral